Molecule: ribosomal RNA, 274 nt
Filed under: uncultured bacterium
Lineage: Bacteria
Description: partial 16S ribosomal RNA
Rfam family: Bacterial small subunit ribosomal RNA
Source: RNAcentral
AUACGGAGGGUGCAAGCGUUACUCGGAAUCACUGGGCGUAAAGCGCGCGCAGGCGGGCUGAUAAGUUGGAUGUGAAAGCCUACGGCUCAACCGUAGAACUGCAUCCAAAACUGUCAGUCUAGAGUGUGGGAGAGGAAGAUGGAAUUAGUUGUGUAGGGGUAAAAUCCGUAGAGAUAACUAGGAAUACCAAAAGCGAAGGCAAUCUUCUGGAACACUACUGACGCUGGGGCGCGAAGGCGUGGGGAGCAAACAGGAUUAGAAACCCCAGUAGUCC